This 4218-nucleotide long non-coding RNA is filed under the name Gossypium barbadense (sea-island cotton). Its description in RNAcentral is "long non-coding RNA (GBAR_LNC003208)". The record is from RNAcentral. Lineage: Eukaryota; Viridiplantae; Streptophyta; Magnoliopsida; Malvales; Malvaceae.
GCUCUCAACAAAUCUGAAAUUUUAAUAAUAAUGAUAAGUGUUUAACAAGGUGGACAGCCAUGCCUUUAAAUAGGCAUUAUAACUAGUCCUAAUCUAAUUAGAAAACUAAAAUAAAAAAAAACUCCUAAUUAUUUUAAUAUAGAAAUUCGGUCAAAGGUCAUUUUAUCUGGGACUCUUGGACUGAAUAUUGACAUAAAAAUUUAAACUAAGUAAAUAAAUAAAUAAAUAAAUAAAAAUAAAAAUAAAACUUUACAACUUGGGCCACUUUGACAAUUUGGCCUGAUUUUCAACUAAGUAUGGAUGGAUUUCUUGAUUGGGCUGGGAAUUUGCUUAUUGGGCCUCGCCUUCAAGAAUUUGGGCUUUUGUGACUCGUAUCAUUCCCCCCUUCCUCAAAAAGAUUCGUCCUCGAAUCUGAAAAAUCAAAUGAACUCGACUUUCCUCUAUCGAACGGGACUAAUGGCAAUUGAGUCCACUGAAAAGAAUAGCCAUGAGAUAGUAAAUAGCAACGGAAACAAGCUUGUAGUCCAAUCAUAAGCAUAACAGAACAGGUAUAACGCAUGUGAAUGGACAGAUUCAGAUUACCAUGCAAACAAUCUAAUUUACUCACCACUGCCUCGUCAAAUAUUUGAAACAAAGAUGGACAUGUUUUAAGGCAUCCAGUCGUCUCACAUUGUUCCCACAAACCAUGAAUAAAUUGCGAGUAAUAAAUCAAAUGGUAAACAUAAUCGUCACAAGUAGGUAUUUGAAAAGAUUCACAUGGUUCACAGAGUUGCAUAAUCGUACCAUGCAUUAAUCGACGGUCUAUAGAUUCACUCACACAUGCAUUAUCAAAAACAAGAAUCUUUUUAUCAACCAUCAAAACAGAUAGAUCAUCAAUAAAUAAAAUAGGACAGUCAAGCACGUUUCGAUCUAAGUGUUCAUCAACACGAUCUUUAUCACUAUCCGAGGAGUACAAAAGUGUUUCAAAGGUGUCAAGCAUCUUACCUCGAUAAGCAGAAGAAUAAGGGUCGAUUUUACCUUUUUCAUUUAAAACAAACCUUCGCUCAUUGGGGGCAUAGUGUAGUCGAAUCUUCGUUGUUGAGUUAACGUUUGUCAAAUGGAACUCAAACUUCAUGUACAACCACAUAAACUGUUUAAGGCACGAAUAUAAAUUGAAAACAAAUUUAGAAAAUUUCGUUACCUUAUUCUCCAAAACAGAUUUGGACAAAUUCAAGGAUUUUACACAAGGUAAAUCAAGAGAAUAACAAAUCACGCUUCUUUUCGUAAUGACUUUAUCAACCACAAUCGAAGAGUAACAAUUAAUCGGAUCAAAAUGAGGGGAUCUUUUAAGAACUAAGUCACCAAAAGUUUUAUCAAUAAUUUUCAAAUCUGCACUGGACUCGGUUUCUAAAAUUUCCUUACCUCGCUUACCUUCGGGAUCAUGUAGUGUGAUUUCAUCUUUGCUUAAGUUGAUCGUAUGAAAGCGUCUUUCAUUUGAGAGGUAUUGAAGUUGAAAGUUAUCUUUCGAUCUUUCAGGAACCUGAAAAGUAGCAACACAAGAAAAAUUCAUAUCUUGGUUAGUGGAAACAUUCCUCACUAGCCUUUCCUCGUCUUUUUCUUUUGUUUCUUUUUCUAACUCAUUUUCUCUUCUUUCUUCAACUUCUUUUUCAAAUUUCUUUUCUGUUUCACAUUCAUUUUCACUCUCAAUCUCUUUUUGCUUUUUUUCAUUCUCUUUUUCUUUUUCCUCACUUGUUUUAACAGAAUUUCUCAGUUUGAUUUGGUCCUCAUGGACUUGUUCCAGAGUGAGCGACACUAAGGUAAGUUUCUUUCCUUGAUGCUUGAAAGAAUACCUAUUGGUACGACCAUCGUGAGUGACUUUUCGAUCCAGUUGCCACGGUUCUCCUAGCAACAAAUGGCAGGCUUGAAUAGGCAUUACGUCACACACAACUUCGUCUUGAUACUUACCGAUAGAAAAGGCGAUGCGCACUUGUUGAGUGACCCUAAAUUGGCCUUCGUUGCUAAGCCCUUGUAGUUGAUAAGGUUGUGGAUGCUUGGUAGUGGUUAAGCAAAGCUUUUCCACCAUCGUCGUGCUGGCUAUGUUCGAGCAACUUUCACCAUCAAUAAUAACUCUACAAAGCUUACCUUGUACAUGGCAGCGAGUAUGAAAGAGAUGUUCUCGUUGCUGCUCGCUCUUUGGUUUUGCCAAAGAUAAUUGUCCACGAUCAUGAAAAUCAUCAUCCAUUCUAGGGACACGUUGAGGGCUGCACCUAUGGGGCUGGUUAUCCCUAUCUUCCUUAAUUGGAUCUCGAUAUUGAUGUUUUUGAUUCACUCGUACCUCAUUCAAAGUAGUAUUCAAUGAUUGAAGUGUAGCAUUUAUUUGUGUGAUUGCAGCAGUAUGUCCGUCUAACUGUUGUUGGACUUUCAUAAGUGCGUCAUUAUUAUCACCUUUAGACAUCUUCAAAACUGUAAAAAAUAAACACUCAACACUCAAAAAUAAAAGUUAGCAAACCUCACCAUUAAUCACUCAAAAAGAAAAAUUAAAUUCUCAAUGAGGUCGAAUUCAAUCUUGUGAGUUCUUUAUCAGAGUUUAUAUCAACCAAUUAGAGAGUGUGAACCAAACUACCAAAGAAUCCUAAUUUGCACUAGGAUGCCAAAAACUGACGAGACACCAAUUGAUUCGUGUUGCAUCGAGGAAGAAGUUGUGCACACGUUUAAAUCCUACUAACACAAGAAACAAGAAGGUGUUAGAUAACGUAAAGGAAGAAUAAAGGUAAACAAAUGAAAACCUACAGCUAAGAAUCAAUAAAAAUUGCUGAAAACAGAAAACCCGAAAAACUGCGGAGUAACUGGACAACUUCGUUCGAGGUGUUCCCGAUCUCCAAAAAUCAUGAAAUUAAAUCUGGAGUGUCCUUAUAUAUUGAAUUUUUGAUCUGGAAAUUUUGGGCACCAAAUUAAACCCGCUGAAUCUUUUUUUAAAUUUUUAUUGAAUUUCGUCUUUUUUGGUUUUUUUGACUUUUUUGACUGAUUUUUUUUGCGGGAAUAAUUUUUUAAUAUUCAAUAACAGUGCCAAAAACAUGUAUGUAAAAUUUCAGAUCAAUCGGACAACGUUUACCCACUCAAAUGAAUUUUUUUUGAACAAUUUUUCUGGGUAAAACUGCUGUUUAUGCUUUAAAAAAUAGAGAUCAGUUUAGAAAUCAACCAAGAACACCCAAAACACCCAAAAUCUGAUACCAAAUGAUACGGGGUUGCGCGCGGACCAAGAUCGAGUUGCCAAGUCACGGGAAACUCCUACGAAAACCCUAAACAAUUAGAUCUGAAACGAAAACAGAAAAUUAAAAGAUUAGAUUUUUGAAUUUUCAGAUCUGAAAUAAAAUCCCCAAAUCAGCAAAGAAUCAAAUUAAGAAUAGAAAUAAGUGUUAGGGUUCUUGAAACCCUCAAGGAGAUUGUGAUUCUGCCCAAUUGAACACCAAGAUAGUUUUACCCAAAUUUCGACAAUCUAAUUUCACCCAAAAGAGUAUGGAAAAACCCUAGAAAUUGGGGAUUUUUGGGCUGAUUCCUUAAGAUAGAAAAAGGCUGAAAACACAAUAAGAACAGAAAAAUAUUAGAUGAUGAAUCGGCACAAGUAGGAAUAAAGAAACAAAUCGAAACAGCAAGAAAUAAAGAAAAGUCCUAAGAACCCUUGAAUUCCCGAAAGAAUUCACAAAUUCCUUCAAACGGCUCUAAUCUCCCCUCCAAAGAAUAUUGAUGGCAAGAAGAAGGUUGAAGAUGGCUCCCACAAUCACAAGAUUGUUAAAACAACUUCUAAAGAAAACUCAAGAGAGAAAUCUUGGAGAAAACUCAAAGAAAAUUCUGCUCUCAACAAAUCUGAAAUUUUAAUAAUAAUGAUAAGUGUUUAACAAGGUGGACAGCCAUGCCUUUAAAUAGGCAUUAUAACUAGUCCUAAUCUAAUUAGAAAACUAAAAUAAAAAAAAACUCCUAAUUAUUUUAAUAUAGAAAUUCGGUCAAAGGUCAUUUUAUCUGGGACUCUUGGACUGAAUAUUGACAUAAAAAUUUAAACUAAGUAAAUAAAUAAAUAAAUAAAUAAAAAUAAAAAUAAAACUUUACAACUUGGGCCACUUUGACAAUUUGGCCUGAUUUUCAACUAAGUAUGGAUGGAUUUCUUGAUUGGGCUGGGAAUUUGCUUAUUGGGCCUCGCCUUCAAGAAUUUGGGCUUUUGUGACUCGUAUCACCAACUUUCAU